CCCAACAAACCCUGGUUUUCGUGUCCGACCAUUCGUUUUAUUUAAAAAAAUUAUUAAAAAAAUUAAAAAGAUAAGUCACGCAUAAAGUAUUAAUCAUGUUUUAUCAUCUAACAAUAAUAAAAAUACUAAUUAUAAAAAAAUUUUAUAUAAGACGGACAGUCAAAUGUUGGCACGGAAACCCAGAGUUUACCUUUUU
Molecule: non-coding RNA, 196 nt
Organism: Oryza glumipatula
Lineage: Eukaryota; Viridiplantae; Streptophyta; Magnoliopsida; Poales; Poaceae
Source: Rfam